UACGGAGGGUGCAAGCGUUAUCCGGAUUCACUGGGUUUAAAGGGUGCGUAGGCGGGUUGUUAAGUCCGUGGUGAAAUCCCCAAGCUUAACUUGGGAACUGCCGUGGAUACUAUCAAUCUUGAAUAUCGUGGAGGUAAGCGGAAUAUGUCAUGUAGCGGUGAAAUGCUUAGAUAUGACAUAGAACACCAAUUGCGAAGGCAGCUUGCUAGACGAUGAUUGACGCUGAGGCACGAAAGCGUGGGGAUCAAACAGG
RNAcentral lists this ribosomal RNA (253 nucleotides) under uncultured bacterium. RNAcentral's name for it is "partial 16S ribosomal RNA". It matches the Rfam family "Bacterial small subunit ribosomal RNA", at positions 524 to 776 of the family's 1533-position model. The record is from RNAcentral.